RNAcentral lists this ribosomal RNA (192 nucleotides) under uncultured Xiphinematobacteriaceae bacterium. RNAcentral's name for it is "partial 16S ribosomal RNA". It matches the Rfam family "Bacterial small subunit ribosomal RNA", at positions 338 to 523 of the family's 1533-position model. Lineage: Bacteria; Pseudomonadati; Verrucomicrobiota; Spartobacteria. The record is from RNAcentral.
CCUACGGGAGGCAGCAGUCGAGAAUUUUUGACAAUGGGGGAAACCCUGAUCGAGCGACGCCGCGUGGAGGAUGAAGGUCUUCGGAUUGUAAACUCCUGUCAUUGGGGAACAAUGCGUGACGGUUAACUGCCGUCGCGUUGAUAGUACUCGAAGAGGAAGAGACGGCUAACUCUGUGCCAGCAGCCGCGGUAA